UGAACGCUGGCGGCGUGCUUAACACAUGCAAGUCGUACGAGAACUCUUUAGCUUGCUAAAGAUAGUAAAGUGGCGCACGGGUGAGUAACGCGUGGGUAAUCUGCCUCUGAAUCGGGGAUAACAUUGCGAAAGCGAUGCUAAUACCGGAUAAUAUCUCAAAACCAUAUGGUUUUGAAAUUAAAAAUGGCCUCUACACGUAAGCUGUUGUUUGGAGAUGAGCCCGCGUACCAUUAGCUUGUUGGUAGGGUAAUGGCCUACCAAGGCAACGAUGGUUAGCUGGUCUGAGAGGAUGAUCAGCCACACUGGAACUGACACACGGUCCAGACUCCUACGGGAGGCAGCAGUGAGGAAUUUUGCGCAAUGGGGGAAACCCUGACGCAGCAACGCCGCGUGAGUGAUGAAGGCCCUCGGGUCGUAAAGCUCUGUCAAGUGGGAAGAAAAUGUAAAAUGUUAAUACCAUUUUACACUGACGGUACCACUGAAGGAAGCACCGGCUAACUCC
This 502-nucleotide ribosomal RNA is filed under the name uncultured bacterium. Its description in RNAcentral is "bacterial SSU rRNA". It matches the Rfam family "Bacterial small subunit ribosomal RNA", at positions 30 to 504 of the family's 1533-position model. The record is from RNAcentral.